RNAcentral lists this transfer RNA (65 nucleotides) under Dipodomys ordii (Ord's kangaroo rat). It matches the Rfam family "tRNA". From Rfam's summary of the family: Transfer RNA (tRNA) molecules are approximately 80 nucleotides in length. Their secondary structure includes four short double-helical elements and three loops (D, anti-codon, and T loops). Further hydrogen bonds mediate the characteristic L-shaped molecular structure. tRNAs have two regions of fundamental functional importance: the anti-codon, which is responsible for specific mRNA codon recognition, and the 3' end, to which the tRNAs corresponding amino acid is attached (by aminoacyl-tRNA synthetases). tRNAs cope with the degeneracy of the genetic code in two manners: having more than one tRNA (with a specific anti-codon) for a particular amino acid; and 'wobble' base-pairing, i.e. permitting non-standard base-pairing at the 3rd anti-codon position. The record is from Rfam by way of RNAcentral. Lineage: Eukaryota; Metazoa; Chordata; Mammalia; Rodentia; Heteromyidae.
GGUGGCUCAGUGGUAAAGCGCUUGCCUUGCAUGUAUGAGGCUCUGGGUUCAAUUCCUCAGCACCA